UUCUAACUUUAUGUUGACUCUACGUAAAAUCUAGACCGCAUGACCAUAUUUUUUUAUUAACGGCCCGAGCUUGAUCACUUCUUUCAAUUACAAUAUAGAUGCAUAUGCCAUCUGUCACCCGUAGUAUACAAAUCCCUAUAGUGUUGGCAAUAGAAUCUGCAAAGGCUUUGAGCGUGGAGGUGGUGGACGACAAGACUCU
This 199-nucleotide long non-coding RNA is filed under the name Carica papaya (papaya). RNAcentral's name for it is "long non-coding RNA (CPAP_LNC002579)". The record is from RNAcentral. Lineage: Eukaryota; Viridiplantae; Streptophyta; Magnoliopsida; Brassicales; Caricaceae.